RNAcentral lists this ribosomal RNA (61 nucleotides) under Arabis alpina (gray rockcress). Lineage: Eukaryota; Viridiplantae; Streptophyta; Magnoliopsida; Brassicales; Brassicaceae. The record is from RNAcentral.
GGGUGUGAUCAUACCAGCACUAAUGCACCGGAUCCCAUCAGAACUCCGCAGUCAAGUGUGC